CAAUGUCUUGGUUGGUUUGCGAUCUGUCGGCCUCAUCGUGGCCGGCGGAUACUUCAGUGUCCUGCUCGAGCGUCGAGUGAUUUCGC
Non-coding RNA from Fonsecaea monophora, 86 nucleotides. The record is from the annotation of a RefSeq genome assembly. Lineage: Eukaryota; Fungi; Ascomycota; Eurotiomycetes; Chaetothyriales; Herpotrichiellaceae.